GAUGAACGCUGGCGGCGUGCCUAAUACAUGCAAGUCGAGCGAACAGACGAGGAGCUUGCUCCUUUGACGUUAGCGGCGGACGGGUGAGUAACACGCGGGUAACCUACCUAUAAGACAGGGAUAACUUCGGGAAACCGGAGCUAAGACCGGAUAAUAUUUCGAACCGCAUGGUUCGAUAGUGAAAGAUGGCUCUGCUAUCACUUAUAGAUGGACCUCGGCCGUAUUAGCUAGUUGGUAAGGUCACGGCUUAGCAAGGCAACGCUACGUAGCCGACCUGAGAGGGUGGUCGGUCACACUGGAACUAUGACACGUGCCAGGGCCCUGGGGGAGGCAGCAAUAGGGAAUUUUGCGCAAUAGUCGAAAGCCUGACGGAGGAACGCCGCGUGAGUGAUGAAGGCCUUGCGACCGUAAUGCUCUGUUAUGAGGGAAGAACAAACUUUUAAGUACCUGGGCUCGUCUUGACGGUACCUAAUCAGAAAGCCACGGCUAACUACGUG
RNAcentral lists this ribosomal RNA (497 nucleotides) under uncultured bacterium. RNAcentral describes it as "partial 16S ribosomal RNA". It matches the Rfam family "Bacterial small subunit ribosomal RNA", at positions 28 to 507 of the family's 1533-position model. The record is from RNAcentral.